AGGACGAACGCUGGCGGCGUGCUUAACACAUGCAAGUCGAGCGGAAAGGCCUUUCGGGGUACUCGAGCGGCGAACGGGUGAGUAACACGUGAGUAAUCUGCCCAUCGCUUCAGGAUAGCCAUCGGAAACGGUGAUUAAUACUGGAUAUGACAUUCCUUCGCAUGUUGGGGUGUGGAAAGUUUUUUCGGCGGUGGAUGUGCUCGCGGCCUAUCAGCUUGUUGGUGGGGUAAUGGCCUACCAAGGCUUUGACGGGUAGCCGGCCUGAGAGGGUGACCGGGCCACACUGGGACUGAGACACGGCCCAGACUCCUACGGGAGGCAGCAGUGGGGAAUAUUGGACAAUGGGCGGAAGCCUGAUCCAGCAACG
Molecule: ribosomal RNA, 367 nt
Filed under: uncultured soil bacterium
Lineage: Bacteria
Description: bacterial SSU rRNA
Rfam family: Bacterial small subunit ribosomal RNA
Source: RNAcentral